RNAcentral lists this long non-coding RNA (414 nucleotides) under Apteryx owenii (little spotted kiwi). RNAcentral's name for it is "lncRNA (ENSAOWG00000005806.1)". Lineage: Eukaryota; Metazoa; Chordata; Aves; Apterygiformes; Apterygidae. The record is from RNAcentral.
GCUGUGUUGACUGGCACUAAUGACAUUCCUUAUAGCCCUCUUGCCCUGGUUUGCCGAGCCUUCUGUUGAAGGACAGAAUGGGACUACUUUGACUUUCUCUUGGAGGGAGAAGGACAUCUCUGGAAAAUACUACCUGUAACCAGGGAUAACUGCAGGAAGCUUUUCUAAGCUGGAGGACAGAAGAGGACCCAGCACCUCGCCUAGACGUUAAUGGGCAAGUAAUGGCCAUGUACUGUCUGAAAGAGAGAGCAGCCCACCAAAUGCAAUGAGCAGGAAAGCGCUCCCUGGUCCCUCCAUACCAGAAGACGACACCAGCUGGACCUCAGUUUCGCUGCCACUGGCAGAGGGGAGCUGUGCUGCGUGUGUUGGGACCUGCUGUUUUCUUUUCUGCAAUGACCCCACCGUUGAUCUUGG